GAUGAACGCUGGCGGCGUGCCUAACACAUGCAAGUCGAGCGAACAGACGAGGAGCUUGCUCCUCUGACGAUAGCGGCGGACGUGUGUGUAACACGUGGAUAACCCACCUAUAAGACUGAUAUAACCUCGGGACACCGGAUCUUAUACCGUAUAAUAUUUUGAACCGCAUGGUUCAAUUGUAAGAUACUUUUUUGCUGUCACUUCUAGAUGGAUCCGCGCCGCAUUAGCUAGUUGGUAAGGUAACGGCUUACCAAGGCAACGAUGCGUAGCCGACCUGAGAGAGUGGUAGGCCACACUAGAGCGGAGACGGGGACCAGAGUACUGAGGGAGGCAGCAGUCGGGAAUGUUACGCAAUAGGCGGGAGCCUGACGGAACAGCGGCAAGCGAGUGACGGAGAUGUUCGGAGCGUGAAACUGUGUUAUGGGGGAAGAACAAAUGUGUGAGUAGCUGUAGACAUCUUGACGGUACCUAAUGAAGAAGCCACGGCUAACUACGUG
RNAcentral lists this ribosomal RNA (497 nucleotides) under uncultured bacterium. RNAcentral describes it as "partial 16S ribosomal RNA". It matches the Rfam family "Bacterial small subunit ribosomal RNA", at positions 28 to 507 of the family's 1533-position model. The record is from RNAcentral.